GUUUCUCCUGUAGGUGGCGCGCGCAGUCCGUCUCUGUCUCCGCAGUGGCGCGUUUUCUGUUUGUUUUCACCUGCGGUCGGUCGAGUGAGGACAGGCUGUGACUUGUGUUAGUGCAGUGAAAUCUCCUUUAUUCAUCCAUACGCGUGUCCUAGUGCGUUGCUGCUUGCCUGGAUGAUGAAAUAACACACCAAUCAACACUGCAAGUGUGCUCUGAUGGACGCUAAUGCACGGAAUCAAGAGUUUUUGGCAGUGUGUAAUAGCGGAAGCCAACAUCAACAUGAGGAGCACGUGUGAAGUGUCUCCUCGCGCCACAACUGCGUCAUCGUAUUAAUGAUUAACUCCUGCAUUGGAAAAUCAGACGAGGUGAAGAUGAGAGUGGAAGGCGAGUCCUGGUGAUUACCAUGGCUGAAGGUCGCGGGACGGAGACUAAGGUCAGUGAGCUUCCAUAAAUGUCACUCAAGGUCUUUGCUACACUCACUGGACACUCAUUCCUGGGCCUUAUUAACCUUUUUUAAUCCUUUACAUUGAUCGUGCGAGAAGGUGGUGACAGAUUUAAUGUGUGUGAGGUGUUUGAGUAGAAUAGAUGGUGUAUUAAUUAUCACGUUUGUAUUCCUGAUGCCUUAUAUUGACUGUGUGAGGUGUGAGGGACGUGAAGGAAGGAAGUAUGAGAUGUGGAAAUGUAAGUGAUGUAUUGAAGUAUUAGAUUGAGGGAAUUUGAGUCACGUUUAUGUUCGUGAUGUCUUACUUUGAUCCUGCGGCGUGAGUGACGUGAGGAAGGAUGAAGUUGGAAUGGUAUAAGUGACACAGGAAAUUAUUAAAAUGAGGUGAUGGGGUAGCGUGACUGACAUACACGAGGGAGUAUGGGGAAAACAGAUGAAUUAAUGAGUAUGAGACUGGAAAAUUAAAUACGCAUGUGUGAAAUGAUGAAAUG
Molecule: long non-coding RNA, 931 nt
Organism: Scylla paramamosain (green mud crab)
Lineage: Eukaryota; Metazoa; Arthropoda; Malacostraca; Decapoda; Portunidae
Exons: 3
Source: RefSeq, a predicted model, not a curated record